RNAcentral lists this ribosomal RNA (1362 nucleotides) under Staphylococcus aureus. RNAcentral describes it as "bacterial LSU rRNA". It matches the Rfam family "Bacterial large subunit ribosomal RNA", at positions 1559 to 2925 of the family's 2925-position model. The record is from RNAcentral. Lineage: Bacteria; Bacillati; Bacillota; Bacilli; Caryophanales; Staphylococcaceae.
AGCUGUGAUGGGGAGAAGACAUUGUGUCUUCGAGUCGUUGAUUUCACACUGCCGAGAAAAGCCUCUAGAUAGAAAAUAGGUGCCCGUACCGCAAACCGACACAGGUAGUCAAGAUGAGAAUUCUAAGGUGAGCGAGCGAACUCUCGUUAAGGAACUCGGCAAAAUGACCCCGUAACUUCGGGAGAAGGGGUGCUCUUUAGGGUUAACGCCCAGAAGAGCCGCAGUGAAUAGGCCCAAGCGACUGUUUAUCAAAAACACAGGUCUCUGCUAAACCGUAAGGUGAUGUAUAGGGGCUGACGCCUGCCCGGUGCUGGAAGGUUAAGAGGAGUGGUUAGCUUCUGCGAAGCUACGAAUCGAAGCCCCAGUAAACGGCGGCCGUAACUAUAACGGUCCUAAGGUAGCGAAAUUCCUUGUCGGGUAAGUUCCGACCCGCACGAAAGGCGUAACGAUUUGGGCACUGUCUCAACGAGAGACUCGGUGAAAUCAUAGUACCUGUGAAGAUGCAGGUUACCCGCGACAGGACGGAAAGACCCCGUGGAGCUUUACUGUAGCCUGAUAUUGAAAUUCGGCACAGCUUGUACAGGAUAGGUAGGAGCCUUUGAAACGUGAGCGCUAGCUUACGUGGAGGCGCUGGUGGGAUACUACCCUAGCUGUGUUGGCUUUCUAACCCGCACCACUUAUCGUGGUGGGAGACAGUGUCAGGCGGGCAGUUUGACUGGGGCGGUCGCCUCCUAAAAGGUAACGGAGGCGCUCAAAGGUUCCCUCAGAAUGGUUGGAAAUCAUUCAUAGAGUGUAAAGGCAUAAGGGAGCUUGACUGCGAGACCUACAAGUCGAGCAGGGUCGAAAGACGGACUUAGUGAUCCGGUGGUUCCGCAUGGAAGGGCCAUCGCUCAACGGAUAAAAGCUACCCCGGGGAUAACAGGCUUAUCUCCCCCAAGAGUUCACAUCGACGGGGAGGUUUGGCACCUCGAUGUCGGCUCAUCGCAUCCUGGGGCUGUAGUCGGUCCCAAGGGUUGGGCUGUUCGCCCAUUAAAGCGGUACGCGAGCUGGGUUCAGAACGUCGUGAGACAGUUCGGUCCCUAUCCGUCGUGGGCGUAGGAAAUUUGAGAGGAGCUGUCCUUAGUACGAGAGGACCGGGAUGGACAUACCUCUGGUGUACCAGUUGUCGUGCCAACGGCAUAGCUGGGUAGCUAUGUGUGGACGGGAUAAGUGCUGAAAGCAUCUAAGCAUGAAGCCCCCCUCAAGAUGAGAUUUCCCAACUUCGGUUAUAAGAUCCCUCAAAGAUGAUGAGGUUAAUAGGUUCGAGGUGGAAGCAUGGUGACAUGUGGAGCUGACGAAUACUAAUCGAUCGAAGACUUAAUC